Molecule: ribosomal RNA, 254 nt
Filed under: uncultured bacterium
Lineage: Bacteria
Description: partial 16S ribosomal RNA
Rfam family: Bacterial small subunit ribosomal RNA
Source: RNAcentral
UACGUAGGGGGCCAGCGUUGUCCGGACUUACUGGGCGUAAAGCGCGCGCAGGCGGUCGCGGGCUGUGCCGCGUGAAAGCGCCGGGCUUACCCCGGCGAGGGCGUGGCAGACAGCGUGACUGGAGCCUCGGAGAGGCCGGUGGAAUUCCGGGUGGAGCGGUGAAAUGCGUAGAGAUCCGGAGGAACACCAGAGGCGUAAGCGGCCGGCUGGCCGAGGGCUGACGCUGAGGCGCGACGGCGUGGGCAGCGAACCGG